RNAcentral lists this ribosomal RNA (253 nucleotides) under uncultured bacterium. RNAcentral's name for it is "partial 16S ribosomal RNA". It matches the Rfam family "Bacterial small subunit ribosomal RNA", at positions 524 to 776 of the family's 1533-position model. The record is from RNAcentral.
UACAGGGGGGGCAAGCGUUGUUCGGAAUUACUGGGCGUAAAGGGUCUGUAGGUGGCCAACUAAGUCAUACGUGAAAUCCCUCAGCUUAACUGGGGAACUGCGCCUGAUACUGGUUGGCUUGAGUGCAGGAGAGGAACGCGGAAUUCCAGGUGUAGCGGUGAAAUGCGUAGAGAUGUGGAGGAACACCGAUGGCGAAGACAGCCUUCUGGGCCAACACUGACGCUCAUGCACGAAAGCGUGGGGAGCAAACAGG